RNAcentral lists this long non-coding RNA (2561 nucleotides) under Sus scrofa (pig). RNAcentral's name for it is "lncRNA (ENSSSCG00050035192.1, ENSSSCG00060047410.1)". Lineage: Eukaryota; Metazoa; Chordata; Mammalia; Artiodactyla; Suidae. The record is from RNAcentral.
GGAAGUCCCUCCCCGACGGCUGCGCCACAUCCCGGGAGGCUGUAGCUCUGCGGCUCAGAGCCCCGGCGCUGUGGAGGAGAUUCUAGACCGGGAGAACAAGCGGAUGGCGGACACCUUGGCCUCCAAGGUCACCAGGCUCAAGUCGCUGGCCUUGGACAUUGAUAGGGAUGUGGAGGACCAGAACCGGUACCUGGACGGCAUGGACUCGGAUUUCACGAGUGUGACGGGCCUCCUCACGGGGAGUGUGAAGCGCUUUUCCACAAUGGCGAGAUCUGGGCGAGACAACCGGAAGCUUCUCUGUGGUGUGGCCAUGGGCCUGAUCGUGGUCUUCUUCAUCCUCUCCUACCUCCUGUCAAGGGCAAGGACGUGAGCCAGUGGGAACUGGUUUCUGUAGGUACCUGGGACAACCAGGGUCUUCCUCUGCCUUGUGUCCUGGGCUCCAGAAGAUCUACCUACAAAAUACCCCUUCGAAGUGAUGAGCAUGGCUUAGGAAUCUUUUUCCUGUGUGGCUGGGAGCCUCUGACCCAGUAAGCUCAUGUUAGCUGGUCCCAUGUGUGCAAGGGGCCCAUCCCCAUUGGGUAACCAAGGCCCAGCUUCCUCUGCCAUCUUGGGUGCUAGAAGCCCUAGCAGAGCCAGGUUGGAGCAGAGCAGCUGGGAAUCCUGGACGUGACCACCUGUGACCAGCAGCCCUUCCCCCAGCCCUCAGGGUUCUGAUGUAUUGAGGCUUCUCUGCUUGGUCUUGGUCUGGAUAAGGCCACGUCUGGUAUUCGAGGUGCCCAGAGCCGACACAGGAAGGGGUGCGACUGUGAACCUCGAAUCAUUGCUGUCACUUUCAGCCAAGGGUCCUCAAACCAGAGAUGGCCGUUGCUCCUGGCCAGGGCUGCCGGGCACUGGUGGACCAGCAAGAGUCAAGGGUCCUGCCGAGAGGUGUCUGCCUGCCGUCCAACCCCAUGGCUGGAGCCCGACCCUCAGGGAAGGGCAGUGGCCAUGCGUGGAGAAGUGAACUGCAGCAUUGGCUGAAGACGCGGGCCCAGGUCCUCCUGGUCUCCCUGUGUCCAGGAGCAGAAACUGACCUUUUCUCAGGAUUCAGGGUCUGUCCAGCACCGAGACACGUUUCCAGGAGCCCAGAUCUCUAGAAAGAGGCUCAUCUGGCAUGUCAGAGUCAGGCAGGGUGUGAGCAGGGGCCUCUGUGGGUACAGCCUGGAGGCUUCCAGGUAACAGCUUUUCAUAGGAUCUGUAGGUCGCUUUUUGAGGGUCCGCGGACAGUUUCCACCGAGUCUGGCCCUUCCACCUACAGUAUCUGCCUAUCUCUCCUUGGGCCCUCAGUGCCCACUGGUCAGUCUCCUGCUCACACAAGGUGAACUGCAGUUUCUUCCAAACCAAUGGGUCUUUCUACCCCACUGUGAGAUCUCAGUGUCUUCCCAUGAAAACACCUGUAAGAAACGAGUCAUCAGCUCUGUCCUUCCCGUCUUUUGUUCCAGUUCUCUGUCUUCCUGGUCACUCCCCUUCACUCUCUGAGGGCUACCGGCUCACCGGCCAUCUUCACACAUACACAUGUGGUCAUAUGUCAGCCACAGCCUGUGCCUCUCGACUCCUGCCACCCCACCCUGCUCUGGUCUCUGGCCCUGGGCACCUCACCUUCUGGCCCUGCUGCUCCUGCUCCUCCUCUCUCUCUCCUUUGUUCUCCACCGAGCAGGCCUGGCUUGUCUCACACUCACCGUAAUGCCCUUCUCUUUUCCACUGCGCCUGGUUGGGCCUCAGCCUUCUGGAAGGGGAGCGUGCUACCUUCUCAUUUCCGAGUGCUCUGUUCUUACUGCCUCCAUCCCUCCAGUGUGUGCUUGUUUCUCACUCGGUGAGGUCCGCUUCCUUGCCUCCAUGGCUUCGACUCAGCCGUCAGCUCAUCUCAUGUUGAAAUUUGUCACAGGGACGUGCCUACUGUUCAUGAAGCUCAGCAGCUGCUGCCGUGUCGUGUUUCCAUCGGGUCACCACAGGCACGGCAGACACAUCAGACCUGAGUGUGGCAGCCGCCUGUUCUGGGCCUGCUAACCUGGCUUCCUGAGAAUAUGGCUCAGCCAUGGCUGUUGCUCCCCCCAGGAUGCUCUUACCUGCUGUGCCCACUCGUCUUGCCAGUGCAGACCAGGAAUUGAGGAUUUGCCUUUCAGAAUGACUGUCUCAAGAAGUGCUCUGCCCCCUCCGAGACCUCUGGUUGCUGUGUUCUCUCCUUGGGUCCCCACCUCUGCCUCCCCACUUCAUUUCCAUGGCUCUUGGCAGCUCUUCCAGCUAUUUUGGGGUCUGGGUUUUUGUCUCUGUCUGGUUUACUUUUUUGUUGCAUUAGGCUGAGUUCCUGAAUGCUGCUGCCACCACGUCGGCAGGGUUUUCUGUGGGGCCUGCACCCUUCUGCUCAGCCCUGUGCACUCAGCACCUCCUCCUGUGGAUAAGUGGGGUUUGCUAAGUGGCCCUUCAGACUAAAACAGAAGAGGCCUUGGAGUCCUCUGUGCCAAGGGAGGGCCCCAAGUCAAGGACAAGGCAUUUGGUCAUAAAAACUUGGAAUAAACAGAUUC